This is an RNA transcript of Ixodes scapularis (black-legged tick), 4072 nucleotides long. RefSeq lists it as uncharacterized. Lineage: Eukaryota; Metazoa; Arthropoda; Arachnida; Ixodida; Ixodidae. The record is from RefSeq and is a predicted model, not a curated record. The transcript is spliced from 3 exons.
UUGUUUUUGUCAAGAAUGCCUCCUCGGCCGAGAAAACGUCCGUUCGAACAAAUAACGCAAGUUGCACUUUGCACCUGCAGCUUUGUGUCAAGUUCUUGCCACACGGCUUCGAGAGCUUUGCUUGUUACAAAGUGCGAAGCGGGAAGCACUCACUUGAUCGAAUAAUGUUUUUUGCGAACGCCGAGGUUUCAGCGAAUGACACUUCAGCGAAUAGUCGGCUGCCGCGAAGCGGCGUUUACGGCACGGCCACCAAAGACGGUGAAAAGCUCCACCGGUAUGCUGCGCGCGUCCACCAGCUAUGUCCUGGUGCCUCAACUGCCGAGGGCAUCUUGUCGUUCCUCGACACCGUCGACGAUAGGACGAACUCAGAGUUUUUCGCUCCUUGCACUGCAAAUGGCACCAAACUCUGCCACAUCGCAGACCAUCUCAGUGUCUGCAAUGAAUAUCUGCACUUGCUCGACAUGGAGCUGAAGGAAGACGAGCCCGGAGAAUUCGGCUUCUUUCCCCUGAAGGCGCACUACCCGAUAGGUGCCGACCAGGGUCCGUGCGUCAAAGGGUGGUCCCUGCUACACUGGCUACUUUGGGAGCACUGCUGCGUCAAAACCUUGGUCCUCCCCUGGUUGAUACACUCCAAGUUUCAGGGACUCUUGUCCGACGCAUUGCACCUCAACUCUGGGCUCAGGAAGCUGACAUUGCGUAACUGGCAGGCCAAACGAGCAUUCAAGGACGUCAUCUCCGCCAUCGGCACGCUUGCGCAACUGGAAGAGCUGGACAUGAAACUCGUUUACUUGCCGCCAAGUGCUCUGGGCUGCCUGGGAAAUGCCCUCCAGAGGAUUUCGAUGCUCAAGAUCCUCAGACUACCUUCCCUUGAAAUGGAUGUCGAUAAUGCAGUUCAUCUCAGUUGUGUCACGAAGUUUGUCAAAGCUUUGAAAGGUUGCCCGAAACUUGCGGUACUCUCCUCUGACAAUUUUGUCCUAGAGCCUGCAUCCGAUGAGAGCUUUGCAGAGUUUGUUGCGGAGAGCGGCUCUUUGACGAAGCUGACCUUGCGCCAUUCUCCUGGGUACUAUGGCCAGGAACUCAAACUCUUCACAGCACUGGGGAAGAACAACAACCUCGAAGAAGUAUGUCUUGAUGGGUUUAUGCUGUAUGAAGAAGCAGAGCGGUUGCUUGUGGAGGUGGCUGCGCAGCACACGGGCCUACGGUAUUUGGAAGUUGGGUUCUACGAUAGCUACAGGGAAUGGGAAAUCGAUGGAACUGCCCUGGCCGCCCUGGUGGGCCGCAACACGGGCCUCCGCGAACUGGUGUUUUCAGGCGGCACCGUUUACUGCAUCCCCGAAUUCGCAGAGGCUAUUCCCAAGAACACCACGAUGCAGAAGUUGACUCUCGGUCUGCUCGGCAUGGACGUCCCCGACUACAGAGUGUUCCUGCAAGCACUGGCUCUCAACAAGUCGCUUCAACUUGUUACUUUCAAGGAAAGUAUGUACGACCACUUUAACGACAUCGUCCUACUCAUGCGAGAGACGGGAACCGAAGGAAGGUUGACGAUUGACGCAGAUGUGGGCAACCCUCAAGAUUUCGAGAACGGUCUGAGAAACUCCACGAGCCUGACCAAAGUGGCUUACUCCAACAGGAGCGCAGCUUGUUUAACGCCGCCCAGUGCAUUUUGUCACCUGCUUCAUCACCAUUGCCUCCGAGAGCUUCGCAUCGGGUUGCAGUACCCGAUCGAAAUGGAGUCCGCGACUUCCCUCGCACUCCUUUUGUCGACCACAAGCAGCUUAAGGUGUGCCACGUUCGAGUUCCUCGCCACUGCAUCGUCAUCGCGGAUUCUCGUAGAGGGACUGGCGAGCAACACGAGCCUCACAGAUCUGAGCGUCAGCUUCUGGACUGUCGAAGCACCGGAGGCUGACCUGCUUUGGCGCAUGCUGAGGAGCAGCAGGACCUUGAAGACAUUGACCCUAGACCUCCUGGAUCUUCCGCAGAGCCGGGUGCUCGACCGCGUGCCAGACGGUCUGCUGCAGAAUCACUACAUUCUUAGGGCAGCCAUUCAACGGAACCCCACGCAGCAGAGUCGGGACAUGUACCAAUACGGCCUCCGUGGGCAGGUCCUGAAGAAGCUCAACAUGCUGAGCACGCCGACCUUCCAGUUUGGGGUCCAGGAGCUUCUGCGACGGAACCUGUCCACUCUGCAUCGCGCAGUGCAGUUUGUGACCGGGUCGCGAGGCAGGCGCUAUGCCGAAGCGUUCGAACGGGUGUCCAAGGGCUCCACCCUCGUGGAAACGCUGAAGAAAGCAGGCGCCGAACCAGAGGACGAGAUCAAGGGGAGGAUUGCGAGCAGCUCCCGCUACCUCGAUGAACACUUCCUGGUGGAAGCAGGCGUCGUCAGAGCCGCCGUGAUUUGUGGCGAGAGUAACAGAGUGCAGCUGGACCAGAUUGGCUUCGACAACUGGCUUUGCAUUCGACAGUACCUCAAGGUCACCGACAUCAUCGCAGUGCCUUUGGGAUUCCUGGCUGACCCCAGCUCUUCCGGAAGCUUGCAGGACUGAUCCGCGCUACAGAGCCCUCGAGCGACACUUACUGUUUUUAUGGUGCGAGGGGAGCACUGUGCGACUUUACAGCUUUCAAAUUCAUUCUUUAUUUUUAGCUGUCAUCUGAAAAGUUUGGCCAGCAUUUGUGACAGUGACUCUGUGCAAGCUGCAUGGUUGGGCCUGCAAAUCUGUUCUUGCAAGUUCACUCGACAUUCAUGGAGGGUGGUAAAUUCCUUGUUCAGGUGUCACAUCCAGCUCCAAAUCAGUACUUCUGGUCGGAGUUCCACCGACGUCCAGACGCCAAAGUUGAUAGAACGCCUGCGGAUUCACAUUGUUUUCAUCACUCCUGUUCCUGCCCAUCCAACUAUCGACCCGAUUCCUAAAAAUCGGAAAGGCCAAAGGAUUCGUCGUCGCAUGUGCCCGAGCAAUAAUCGCUUUAAAAAAAAAAAGGUUUUGUAUCUUUUUGUCAGCUAACCUCCGUGCCAAAGCCAUGUUGCUUAUCAUGAACGCUCGCAAGAGACUGCUUUUUCCUUUUUGGCUAAAUGCAGUGUUUUCUUUCUGUCAAACAGCAAAACAUACGAGGAAACUACCCAAGGUAAAUGGAGCAACAGGGGUGGUUUUGCCAUCUGUCGGAGAGCAUGCUAUACCAGCGCCAAAACUGAAACGCGAGUCACUCUCUUGGUCGGGCUUUACGGUCCGUAAUGGUUGGCACGAGUGACACUGGUUAUCACUAGGCAAGGGGCGGUGUAAGAAUUUUUAGAAUUUGGCCAAUUGAUUGUGGGAAUUAGUCUGUGCCACCUAUAGAAUGAAAUGGAAAUCACUUCUUUUCUCUGUAUGCGCUAGCUUUUAUUGAAAAAAAAAAUAAAACAAAGUCUAGGAUGCCCCCCAACUCUUGCUCCAUCUUUCGAGCAAAAUCGUGGGGGUGGGGGUAUGAGAUUUCCCUCUGGCUUUCGUCCUCAAUGACUUCUACAACUGUGGAUUUUUCAAGGUUCAGACGGGCUGCUGCAUCGGUCAAGGUAGCGGCGAGCAACCAAGACUAGACGGUUCGCCACGGAGUUGACAGGGUGCAGAGGGAAUGGUUUCGUCGACGACUGUUGGACGGUGCCACGACUGACGCACAUGGUGCCCAUGGCUGAAGUAGACAAUUUGUUAUAUCAAGUUCAAAUUCGUAGAUGCUGAAUGGACUGUGAAGCAGAACAGUGAACCACAAUCACGAAAAACGAAUGCAGCCCACACCCCGUGAAAACAAGCAGGAGUGCGGACCUUUCUACUCGUAUAAAAGUAGCUUUUCCUAAAGACUACUCGAAAGCCAUUCAACUUGUGAAAUGCUGUACAAACACCUGGAUGACUAAACACUGGAGUUGGCAUUUCGUGAAAAUUUGUGUCGAUAAGCCAUGUAGAUUUAGGUUGCCACCUAAGCUCAACUUCACGUGGCACCGGCUUUCUUCAGAGAGGUCGCAUGCUGUCUGACGGUCCGUUUCAAACAGAAGCGAAUCCAAGGAAGGGGAUUUUCUCUUCAUGCUUUUCCGAUGUUCAGAACUACAGAA